This 75-nucleotide transfer RNA is filed under the name Candidatus Margulisiibacteriota bacterium. Its description in RNAcentral is "tRNA-Ala". It matches the Rfam family "tRNA". From Rfam's summary of the family: Transfer RNA (tRNA) molecules are approximately 80 nucleotides in length. Their secondary structure includes four short double-helical elements and three loops (D, anti-codon, and T loops). Lineage: Bacteria; Bacillati; Candidatus Margulisiibacteriota. The record is from RNAcentral.
GGGGCUGUAGUUCAGUGGGAGAACGCUUGACUGGCAGUCAAGAGGUCAGGGGUUCAAAUCCCCUCAGCUCCACCA